RNAcentral lists this ribosomal RNA (1527 nucleotides) under uncultured prokaryote. RNAcentral's name for it is "partial 16S ribosomal RNA". It matches the Rfam family "Bacterial small subunit ribosomal RNA". The record is from RNAcentral.
AGAGUUUGAUCAUGGCUCAGAUUGAACGCUGGCGGCAUGCUUAAUACAUGCAAGUCGAACGGUAACAGAUUCUUCGGAAUGCUGACGAGUGGCGGACGGGUGAGUAAAGCAUAGGAAUCUGCCCAUGUAGUGGGGGAUAACUUGGGGAAACUCAAGCUAAUACCGCAUAAGUCCUACGGGAUAAAGACGGGGAAGUGCUUGCUAUUGGAUGAGCCUAUGUCGGAUUAGUUAGUUGGUGAGGUAAUGGCUCACCAAGACAGCGAUCCGUAGCUGGUUUGAGAGGAUGAUCAGCCACACUGGGACUGAGACACGGCCCAGACUCCUACGGGAGGCAGCAGUAGGGAGUAUUGGACAAUGGGCGCAAGCCUGAUCCAGCAAUGCCGCGUGUGUGAAGAAGGCCUGCGGGUUGUAAAGCACUUUCAAUUGGGAAGAAAGAUUUAGAGUUAAUACCUCUUAAUAUUGACGUUACCAAUAGAAGAAGCACCGGCUAACUCUGUGCCAGCAGCCGCGGUAAUACAGAGGGUGCAAGCGUUAAUCGGAAUUACUGGGCGUAAAGCGUUCGUAGGCGGUUAUUUAAGCAAGAUGUGAAAGCCCAGGGCUCAACCUUGGAACUGCAUUUUGAACUGGGUAACUAGAGUACUGUAGAGGGUGGUGGAAUUUCCAGUGUAGCGGUGAAAUGCGUAGAGAUUGGAAGGAACAUCAGUGGCGAAGGCGGCCACCUGGACAGAUACUGACGCUGAGGAACGAAAGCGUGGGGAGCGAACAGGAUUAGAUACCCUGGUAGUCCACGCCGUAAACGAUGUCUACUAGCUGUUGGAUUCGGUGUAAUGGAUUUAGUGGCGCAGCUAACGCGUUAAGUACUCCGCCUGGGGACUACGGUCGCAAGACUAAAACUCAAAGGAAUUGACGGGGACCCGCACAAGCGGUGGAGCAUGUGGUUUAAUUCGAUGCAACGCGAAAAACCUUACCUGCUCUUGACAUCCACAGAACUUUCCAGAGAUGGAUCGGUGCCUUCGGGAACUGUGAGACAGGUGCUGCAUGGCUGUCGUCAGCUCGUGUUGUGAAAUGUUGGGUUAAGUCCCGCAACGAGCGCAACCCUUAUUAAUAGUUGCUAACAAGUUAUGUUGAGCACUCUAUUGAGACUGCCGGUGAUAAACCGGAGGAAGGUGGGGACGACGUCAAGUCAUCAUGGCCCUUACGAGCAGGGCUACACACGUGCUACAAUGGCAGGGACAGAUGGCAGCAAUACCGCGAGGUGGAGCGAAUCCCACAAAGCUUGUCGUAGUCCGGAUCGGAGUCUGCAACUCGACUCCGUGAAGUCGGAAUCGCUAGUAAUCGUGGGUCAGAAUGCCACGGUGAAUACGUUCCCGGGCCUUGUACACACCGCCCGUCACACCAUGGGAGUGGGACUCGCCAGAAGUAGUUAGCCUAACCGUAAGGGGGGCGAUUACCACGGCGGGGUUCGUGACUGGGGUGAAGUCGUAACAAGGUAGCCGUAUCGGAAGGUGCGGCUGGAUCACCUCCUUA